Molecule: transfer RNA, 66 nt
Filed under: Atractolytocestus huronensis
Lineage: Eukaryota; Metazoa; Platyhelminthes; Cestoda; Caryophyllidea; Lytocestidae
Description: tRNA-Tyr
Source: RNAcentral
UUCGGUUUAGUAUAUUGUGUAAUACCAAAGAUUGUAAAUCUUAUGAUGGUUGUUGACCAGCCGAGA